UAUUUAUAAAUUUUGUAGGUGUGUGUUGCCAGUAAUAGUUGAAGAUAUGCCAAACAAAUUGUGUCACUCUAUACAGACAGAUUUAAGGUCUCAAUUUCGACUUCAAAGGUCAACAUAUCACUGAUAUCAGGGACUUUACAUCUCACAGUCAUUUCAACAUGUAGAGUCUUGUCGACAAUGAUGGAUCAGUACAUCAGAUUUCCAGAAUCUCGUCAUAAGCUGAAGACCAUUGCCGAUGGAUUUCAUUAACUACACUGUAUGUGGAAUGCCUGGCGUUGUAGGGGCUGUUGAUGGAUCCCACAGUGCAUGUCCUGCUCCAACAUCCGAGCAUAGGUCCUUGUUUAUCAACAGUUUAGUUCUUCAAGCAGUCUGUGACAGUAGGCCCUUACUUGAAAUGUUUGGACAUAUGCCCUGGAUGGCCAAGUUCUGUACAUGAUGCCCAUGUAUAUAUGAACAGCCCAGCAGCGCAUUAAAUUGAAAAUCUUCGGAAUGACUACCAUGUUCUCGAGGAUUCAGCAUACCACCUGACAAGAAAUCUGCUUGUUCUGUAUCGAGGCCAUGAACAUUUGUACCAUUUGCGAGAGAAAUUCAACAAGUGUCAUUCAUCUAAGAGUUGAUUUGGAACGGGCAAUUGGUCUCUUGAAAUGCAAAUUCAGGCUGCUAAAAUACUUGAACAUACUUGGAGCUGGAGAUGUUCCUAGUGAUCUUUGCUUGUUGUGUCCUUCACAACUUCAUUCUGCUGCAAGAGUCAGACACAGAACCUGAAGUUGACACAUUUGAUCAGAUAGACAUAUAUGCCUCCGAGGCAGUUGGAAAUGGUCAGGCCCACCGAGAAGCAGAUGAGAAGUGGCGUGCUAUUGCCCUGGAACUGUGAUGGGUUGACAAGUGAUAUGACUUCCCUACUGCGAUAUUUGUGCCUGUGUUCAUGCUUAAUAGUUGAUAAAUAAUUGGAAGUCAUAACCUGAUGGUGUUGGUGGGACUAUGAAAUUUGUUAAGGUAAAAAGUGUGGAAAAUAUAAUUAAAAGUCAAAGAGUUCUGCUAUUGUUAAGCAUGCUUUAUUGAGUUGUAUUGUUUAAAAGAUAGCAUUAUUAACAGAAUAAAAUGUCCAUAAUUUGAA
Long non-coding RNA from Dreissena polymorpha, 1117 nucleotides. RefSeq lists it as uncharacterized. The transcript has 2 exons. The record is from RefSeq and is a predicted model, not a curated record. NCBI's taxonomy places the organism in Eukaryota, Metazoa, Mollusca, Bivalvia, Myida, Dreissenidae.